RNAcentral lists this ribosomal RNA (548 nucleotides) under uncultured bacterium. RNAcentral's name for it is "partial 16S rRNA". It matches the Rfam family "Bacterial small subunit ribosomal RNA", at positions 355 to 895 of the family's 1533-position model. The record is from RNAcentral.
UAGGGAAUCUUCCGCAAUGGGCGAAAGCCUGACGGAGCAACGCCGCGUGAGUGAUGAAGGUCUUCGGAUCGUAAAACUCUGUUAUUAGGGAAGAACAUAUGUGUAAGUAACUGUGCACAUCUUGACGGUACCUAAUCAGAAAGCCACGGCUAACUACGUGCCAGCAGCCGCGGUAAUACGUAGGUGGCAAGCGUUAUCCGGAAUUAUUGGGCGUAAAGCGCGCGUAGGCGGUUUUUUAAGUCUGAUGUGAAAGCCCACGGCUCAACCGUGGAGGGUCAUUGGAAACUGGAAAACUUGAGUGCAGAAGAGGAAAGUGGAAUUCCAUGUGUAGCGGUGAAAUGCGCAGAGAUAUGGAGGAACACUAGUGGCGAAGGCGACUUUCUGGUCUGUAACUGACGCUGAUGUGCGAAAGCAUGGGGGGGAAAAAAGGNNNAAAACCCGGGGGCCCCCCCCCCCNAAANNUGAGUGCUAAGUGUUAGGGGUUUCCGCCCCUUAGUGCUGCAGCUAACGCAUUAAGCACUCCGNUUGGGGAGUACNANCGCANGNUG